This is a non-coding RNA of Electrophorus electricus (electric eel), 1477 nucleotides long. NCBI's taxonomy places the organism in Eukaryota, Metazoa, Chordata, Actinopteri, Gymnotiformes, Gymnotidae. The record is from RefSeq and is a predicted model, not a curated record.
CUCUCCAAAUAUGCCCCUCAUCGAGAUCUGGGACCUGUGUGUACGUCAGACGUUAAGGUUGAGACACGUUUUGGCGCUGCUGUGUGAGAAAGUUAGAGUACAGUGUGAACUCGUAACAGAGAAGUGGAGAAGUUGUCCGCGUUUUUCAUGGUAUAUUUUGGAUUACGGUACACCGAUCCGCUCCACAUUACAAAGACUACGCUGAGAGGGGACACACAAACUGCUUUCUCUCUUACAAGUAGACGGUGAGAAAGCAGUAGCUGGAAGCGCGGCAGCCCGACACGUCUCCCCUGGCCCUCUUCCCUCUCCUCCCGCGCUACACCACCACGGCCCUACAGGGCUCAUCGUCAAGAAAGCAACGGGCUGCCACUUAAUGCCUUUGCUCAAAAAGCACACAGAGCAGGAGAGACUUUGUACACGUGCUGCCAUGUGUAUACUGCCACUGCAGAACAUAGCAAGGAGACGUGUUUUGUAUCCUAUGAAUCAAGAUGUCAAAACGUCUGGAGGAUAAUUUUGCUGACUGCAGCAUGAGAGCUUGGAUAAAGAUGCAUGAACUAUUCAGCAGGUGUGUAAAAGAUGUGCACAUAAACCACAUGUCCCCUACCCAGCGGUCAAGCACUUCUGAGAAGACCUUCUGCUGCAGUGUCCAGUCCCUACACUCCUGUCUAACUGGGAGGCUCCACCAGAGUAAAUAUCUCAGAUAAGGUAUAGAAUGUCUUGGCACUCGUAAUAACAGAGUUCUUCAUUAUCAAACCUGCGGCACUUUGUUGGAAUAUUCUGAUUAAAAACUGCUCCGCGAUUGGAGAUAAUGAACUCGUCUGUUUUAAGAUUUUGCCGAAGCCGAAGCUCUAUUAGAAGCUGCUUAACACUUGGCUGAGAAGGGGGAGUAUUUUAAAAAGCACUUUGUGUUUGUAAGCAGGAGUUUAUCAUCUGAUAAUGAAUGCGAGACGUAACAUGAGAAAAAUCUGGAAACAGUGACUGACUCCAGUAAUCUGUGAUAUAUCUUCAACUAAACACAAAAGCAACUUCAUUAAGAUAACUUUUACGUAACAUGUAUAAAGUCAUAUGAAAUAAAUACCAUAUAUUGACAAAAAAAACCCAAAACUUUAACAUAGUGUUAACAUAGAAACCAUUGUCUUUGCAUUAUACAAACCUCAUGUCCUCAUGAAACAAAUCCCAUGUUCACAAACAAAGCUAUUAGCACUCAAAUUGCAGUGUGUGUUAGUGAAAGCGCAGAAAGACAUGAAUGGCAGCAGAAAAAGCUCCCAAAUGGACAUCUGCUUCCAGUGAGGAACUGCAAGGGAAUGAAGAAACAGACCAAAAACGCAGUCUGGUUCAAAACACAGCGCAUGCCACAUAUCUGAAACACUGAAGUAAAUGCAGGGUACUUUUGAUGGCAGUUCUGUGGAUGGGAACAACAGUCAUGUGAACCGUUCCCUCAGUUAGGAGCAUUACAGAAGGGGGAAAGAAAGAAGAA